GGGACUGCUUCCUUCGGAGCAUUGGGAGUAAGUUCUGCUCUUUGGAAUGGGGUCUGUCAGCAGAAAGAGCAGCAACUGCACCUGGAGACUGCUUCCUUUAGAGCGUGGGGUGAACCCUUGAAACAGGCUCUGCAGCUCUGGUUCCCAGCAGCGUGAUGAACUGAAGCCCCUGGUCUGCUGAAUACUGGGACUGGCCCAGAGAGGCUCUGUGACGGGUGUGGAUUAUCCCAGCUGGAGUACCUGGUACCAUUGGUGGUGAUCUCGUCCAACUGCCACACAACGGACAGGAACAUCCACAGCCAGAUCAGGUUGCCCAGAGGCUGACCCAGCCUCACCUUGGAAGGGACAGAGCAUCUAUCACAUGUCUGGGGACUUCACCUGACUGCCUCAACUUCCUCUUCCUCAAUCCCCACCUACCAAACCAAAGGUGAGGGCAGUGUAUAGUGAGCAGUUAUCAGAGAAGAUGGAAGCAAAAAUAUUGUUGGGUACCUGAGCCUUCUCCUUGUCUGUUGUUCCCAGCUCAGUGCUGCUGGUGGCCGCAGAGCUGCAGUGCUCCUGAGAGCUUUAAGGACAGCAUGGAGAUGCGUGGGUCUUCACGGCAGCAGCAAGGAACCAGAAUCUGCAUUUCCUGGAAUGCCACGGAACCCCACUUUGCUGGCUGGUAAUUGUCUGCCCAGCAGGUGAAGAUGUCUUUGACACUUCCAGCUGAUGACUUCCCCCCUGGGACACCAUCGUCUUUCCAGACCUCCCAUACUCACCGCCAGCUCAGUUCGGUCGAGUUGUUACCCGAAUCGCCAUUUCAUUCCCUUUCCAUGAUCCUCCUGUCACUCUGCCACAAGCCCCUACCACCUCCCAAGGUCGUCGCAGGCAACAUGUGUGAUGCGGCACUCAGUCUCAUUAUAGUUCAUCCCAUCAGCCUCAGCCCAGCGAUCCAAACCUAACCCACAUCCUUCCUUAGGGCCCUUCUACUCCCAGGCCAAUCAACGCUUCCUUCUGAUGCCAUCUGCGUUCCUUCUUGGCUGCUUUAAGACUCGUGCCCCUUUGUGGCCAUUUUGAGAGUUGCGAUGACUUCAGCCUGUGCAUUCAAUUUAGUUCAACCAAAUUGGCUUCAAUUUUACAUUCAAUUAAUGUAAACCAAAUUGGCUUUAAGUUUGCAUUGCUUACGGGG
Lagopus leucura (white-tailed ptarmigan) is the source of this 1168-nucleotide long non-coding RNA. RefSeq lists it as uncharacterized. The record is from RefSeq and is a predicted model, not a curated record. Lineage: Eukaryota; Metazoa; Chordata; Aves; Galliformes; Phasianidae. The transcript is spliced from 6 exons.